UAUUGCGCAAUGGGGGAAACCCUGACGCAGCGACGCCGCGUGAGCGAAGAAGGCCUUCGGGUUGUAAAGCUCUGUUCUAAGGGACGAAGGACUUGGCUGUGAACAAUGGUCAAGGGUGACGGUACCUUAGGAGAAAGCCCCGGCUAACUACGUGCCAGCAGCCGCGGUAAUACGUAGGGGGCGAGCGUUGUCCGGAAUUACUGGGCGUAAAGAGCGUGUAGGCGGGUGCUUAAGUCAGGUGUGAAAGACCGGGGCUCAACUCCGGGGUUGCACUUGAAACUGGGCAUCUUGAGGGCAGGAGAGGAAAGUGGAAUUCCUGGUGUAGCAGUGAAAUGCGUAGAUAUCAGGAGGAACACCGGUGGCGAAGGCGGCUUUCUGGACUGACCCUGACGCUGAGACGCGAAAGCGUGGGGAGCAAACAGG
This 423-nucleotide ribosomal RNA is filed under the name uncultured bacterium. RNAcentral's name for it is "bacterial SSU rRNA". It matches the Rfam family "Bacterial small subunit ribosomal RNA", at positions 362 to 776 of the family's 1533-position model. The record is from RNAcentral.